AAAAUACUCCCUCCGUCCGGAAAUACUUGUCAUCAAAAUGGAUAAAAGGAAAUGUAUCUAGACGUAUUUUAGUUUUAGAUACAUCUCUUUUUAUCCUUUUGAUGACAAGUAUUUUCGGACGGAGGGAGUAUUUA
This is a non-coding RNA of Triticum aestivum (bread wheat), 134 nucleotides long. Lineage: Eukaryota; Viridiplantae; Streptophyta; Magnoliopsida; Poales; Poaceae. The record is from Rfam.